UACGAAGGGGGCUAGCGUUGCUCGGAAUCACUGGGCGUAAAGCGCACGUAGGCGGCUUCUUAAGUCAGGGGUGAAAUCCUGGGGCUCAACCCCAGAACUGCCCUUGAUACUGAGGAGCUUGAGUCCGGGAGAGGUGAGUGGAACUCCGAGUGUAGAGGUGAAAUUCGUAGAUAUUCGGAAGAACACCAGUGGCGAAGGCGGCUCACUGGCCCGGUACUGACGCUGAGGUGCGCCAGCGUGGGGAGCACACAGG
This 253-nucleotide ribosomal RNA is filed under the name uncultured bacterium. Its description in RNAcentral is "partial 16S ribosomal RNA". It matches the Rfam family "Bacterial small subunit ribosomal RNA", at positions 524 to 776 of the family's 1533-position model. The record is from RNAcentral.